AUGGACGACGACGCCGGCGACGCCUCGCCGCCGCCGGGACCUGCCCCCCCUGCUGCCACAGGCGCCCCGUCGUUGCGUGACAUGGCGGCGUCCCCUACCAGCUCGCGCUCCGUGACGGAGACGGUGAACGGCUCCCACCGCUUCGUGAUCCAGGGCUACUCCCUCGCCAAGGGGAUGGGCGUCGGGAAGCACAUCGCGAGCGAGACCUUCACCGUCGGGGGAUACCAGUGGGCUAUCUACUUCUACCCAGACGGGAAGAACCCCGAGGACAACUCGGCCUACGUUUCCGUCUUCAUCGCGCUCGCUUCCGAGGGCACUGACGUCCGCGCUCUCUUUGAGCUCACGCUGCAGGACCAGAGCGGCAAGGGCAAGCACAAGGUCCACUCCCACUUCGAUCGCUCGCUCGAGUCUGGGCCCUACACCCUCAAGUACCGAGGCUCCAUGUGGGGUUACAAACGGUUCUUUCGGCGAACUGCUCUUGAGACAUCGGACUUUCUUAAAGAUGAUUGUUUGAGGAUAAACUGCACUGUGGGUGUUGUGGUUUCAACUAUUGAUUACUCCAGACCACACUCCAUUCAGGUUCCAGACUCUGAUCUUGGCUACCACUUCGGUUCUCUUUUGGACAGUAAUGAAGGGGUUGAUGUUAUUCUUAAUGUGAGUGGAGAGAGGUUUCAUGCCCAUAAGUUGGUGUUGGCUGCACGGUCUACUGUAUUUAGAUCCAAACUUUUUGACGAUGAAUCAGAAGGAGACAAGAACGAGGUUAAUGAGAGUGAGGAUCUGAAGGAGAUUGUUCUUGAUGAUCUAGAGCCCAAGGUUUUCAAGGCAAUGCUUCAUUUCAUCUACAGAGAUACCCUCGUUGAUGAUUAUGAGUUGGAUGCAUCAAGCUCCAUGGGCUCUAUUUUUGAUACUUUGGCGGCAAAGUUGUUGGCCGCAGCAGACAAGUAUGACUUAGGAAGGUUAAGAUUGCUAUGUGAAUCUUACUUGUGCAAAGGCAUUUCUGUGGCCUCGGUUGCAAGUACUCUUGCAUUGGCUGAUAGUCACCACGCCAUGGAGCUUAAAGCCGUUUGCCUAAAAUUUGCUGCAGAAAAUCUUUCAGCUGUGAUCCGGACUGACGGGUUUGAUUACCUCAAGGAUAAUUGCCCAUCACUUCAGUCGGAGAUACUGAGAACUGUUGCUGGGUGUGAGGAGCCGUGCAGUAGUGGCGGGAAAAGCCAGAGUGUAUGGGGACAGCUCUCGGACGGUGGCGACACUAGUGGCCGUAGGGUGAGGCCAAGAAUCUGA
This 1281-nucleotide ribosomal RNA is filed under the name Triticum aestivum (bread wheat). RNAcentral's name for it is "partial small subunit ribosomal RNA". The record is from RNAcentral. Lineage: Eukaryota; Viridiplantae; Streptophyta; Magnoliopsida; Poales; Poaceae.